UAGGGAAUCUUCCGCAAUGGACGAAAGUCUGACGGAGCAACGCCGCGUGAGUGAAGAAGGAUUUCGGUUCGUAAAACUCUGUUGUUAGGGAAGAAAAAAUGUAUAGUAACUAUAUACAAAAGAGAUGGUACCUAACCAGAAAGCCACGGCUAACUACGUGCCAGCAGCCGCGGUAAUACGUAGGUGGCAAGCGUUGUCCGGAAUUAUUGGGCGUAAAGCGCGCGCAGGUGGUUUAGAAAGUCUGAUGUGAAAGCCCACGGCUCAACCGUGGAGGGUCAUUGGAAACUAAUAAACUUGAGUGCAGGAGAGAAAAGUGGAAUUCCUAGUGUAGCGGUGAAAUGCGUAGAGAUUAGGAGGAACACCGGUGGCGAAAGCGGCUUUUUGGCCUGCAACUGACACUGAGGCGCGAAAGCGUGGGGAGCAAACAGG
This 429-nucleotide ribosomal RNA is filed under the name Verrucomicrobiota bacterium. Its description in RNAcentral is "Verrucomicrobia bacterium partial 16S ribosomal RNA". It matches the Rfam family "Bacterial small subunit ribosomal RNA", at positions 355 to 776 of the family's 1533-position model. Lineage: Bacteria; Pseudomonadati; Verrucomicrobiota. The record is from RNAcentral.